UACGAAGGGGGCUAGCGUUGCUCGGAAUUACUGGGCGUAAAGCGCACGUAGGCGGCUUUCUAAGUCGGGGGUGAAAUCCUGGAGCUCAACUCCAGAACUGCCUUCGAUACUGGAAAGCUCGAGUCCGGGAGAGGUGAGUGGAACUGCGAGUGUAGAGGUGAAAUUCGUAGAUAUUCGCAAGAACACCAGUGGCGAAGGCAGCUCACUGGCCCGGUACUGACGCUGAGGUGCGAAAGCGUGGGGAGCAAACAGG
RNAcentral lists this ribosomal RNA (253 nucleotides) under uncultured bacterium. RNAcentral's name for it is "partial 16S ribosomal RNA". It matches the Rfam family "Bacterial small subunit ribosomal RNA", at positions 524 to 776 of the family's 1533-position model. The record is from RNAcentral.